RNAcentral lists this long non-coding RNA (296 nucleotides) under Phoenix dactylifera (date palm). Its description in RNAcentral is "long non-coding RNA (PDAC_LNC010253)". The record is from RNAcentral. Lineage: Eukaryota; Viridiplantae; Streptophyta; Magnoliopsida; Arecales; Arecaceae.
GAACCUCCUUAUAUAGCAAGACUUGCUUUAAUUAUAUAAUAAGUUUAUACCUUGAGAUGAGUUCUAUAAAGGUUGUCUUAUCUCAAACCUAUAGUCUUAUGAAAAUAAGCUGAAACUUAUGAAAAAUAUAUUUUUGAGAUUGACAAUUUUAUUGAACAUUAUCUUCAAAUUCUAAACUCUUAAAUGGAAUGAUCAAUUAAGGAGGAGAAAGAAAAUUUCAGAAGGAGAGAUCUUAUGGAACUUAAUCGUAUAAAUCUAUAACUAAAGGAGAGAGACAGAAUACUAAAUGAAAAGUG